RNAcentral lists this small RNA (138 nucleotides) under Klebsiella aerogenes. RNAcentral describes it as "RtT sRNA". It matches the Rfam family "RtT RNA". Rfam says of the family: This family represents a bacterial cis-regulatory element known as RtT RNA. The record is from RNAcentral. Lineage: Bacteria; Pseudomonadati; Pseudomonadota; Gammaproteobacteria; Enterobacterales; Enterobacteriaceae.
UUAUAUUCUCCGUUGGGGGGGAUGAGAACCCCGACCGGGGUUCGACAACUGGCGCAGCCAGUUGGACAGAGCGCGCACGCAGUAAGCGGACUGCCCCGCAGGGGCGAGCGAAGCGAGUCAAUCCCCCCCUCACCGCCA